GCCCGCCUAGCUCAAUCGGAUAGAGCGUCAGACUCUUAGAAGCGGGUUAUCUGAAGGCUGCGAGUUCGACCCUCGGUGGGCU
This is a non-coding RNA of Marasmius fiardii PR-910, 82 nucleotides long. The record is from the annotation of a GenBank genome assembly. NCBI's taxonomy places the organism in Eukaryota, Fungi, Basidiomycota, Agaricomycetes, Agaricales, Marasmiaceae.